UCCGUAGGCGGUGUGGCAAGUCGGUAGUGAAAUCUCUCGGCUUAACUGAGAGGCUGCUGCCGAAACUGCCAUGCUCGAGUGCGAGAGAGGCGAGUGGAAUUGCGGGUGUAGCGGUGAAAUGCGUAGAUAUCCGCAGGAACAUCCGAGGCGAAAGCGGCUCGCUGGGUCGCAACUGACGCUGAGGGACGAAAGCUAGGGGAGCAAACAGGAUUAGAUACCCUGGUAGUCCUAGCCCUAAACCAUCAGGACUUGGGGUUUGCCCUGUACGGGGCAAGUCCCGGAGCUAACGCGUUAAGUCCUGCGCCUGGGGAGUACGGUCGCAAGGCUGAA
This 330-nucleotide ribosomal RNA is filed under the name uncultured bacterium. RNAcentral's name for it is "bacterial SSU rRNA". It matches the Rfam family "Bacterial small subunit ribosomal RNA", at positions 568 to 898 of the family's 1533-position model. The record is from RNAcentral.